Panthera uncia (snow leopard) is the source of this 614-nucleotide long non-coding RNA. RefSeq lists it as uncharacterized. The transcript has 5 exons. The record is from RefSeq and is a predicted model, not a curated record. Lineage: Eukaryota; Metazoa; Chordata; Mammalia; Carnivora; Felidae.
CCCUUUGAAUGAGUAUUCUUAUAUUUCUAGGGGGUAAGUACACAGUAGUGUGAUUGCUGUACCAUAAGGUAGUUCUACUUUUAACUUUUUGAGGAACCUCCAUACUGUCUGUCACUUUGUCUGCCCCAGUUUGCAUUCUCACCAACAGGAGAAAGCAUACAAGCAGGGGAAAGGUGCAGAGGAAAAGAGAGAAUCUUAAGCAGGCUCCAUGCUCAGAACGGAGCCUGAGUCAGGACUUGAUCCAGUCCAUGGCCUUGGGAUAAUGAUCUGAACCGAAAUCAAGAGUCAGAGGCUCAACUGACUGAGCCACCCAGGCACCCCCAGUUUUCGAACUUGCAACUUUCAAUAUUAAGCAAACCAAGAAGAAUGAGAGGCAAAAAUUCUGUGGUUGAAAUCUUAAGGACUUCAAGAAGAGAUUGGUGUCAUAAAAAUAAAACAAGUAACCUGUAUAUGUAUAAAAAAUACAACUCAUCAGCUUCACACCACUAGCAGAAUGAGUUCACUGUUUCAAGCAUUCAAUAUUUCUGAUGAAAUGGAUUUUAAUACAUCACAUUUUAUUAAAAUUUUUCAUCAAAAAUUACAUUGAAAUAAAGCCUCGUGUUCUUUUCCAAGCA